AACGAACGCUGGCGGCAUGCCUAACACAUGCAAGUCGAACGAGACCUUCGGGUCUAGUGGCGCACGGGUGCGUAACACGUGGGAAUUUGCCUCGGGGUAUGGAAUAAACUCAGGGAAACUUGAGCUAAUACCAUAUAAUGUCUUCGGACCAAAGAUUUAUCGCCCUGAGAUAAGCCCGCGUAGGAUUAGCUAGUUGGUGGGGUAAAGGCUCACCAAGGCGACGAUCCUUAGCUGGUCUGAGAGGAUGAUCAGCCACACUGGGACUGAGACACGGCCCAGACUCCUACGGGAGGCAGCAGUGGGGAAUAUUGGACAAAUGGGCGAAAGCCUGAUCCAGCAAUGCCGCGUGAGUGAUGAAGGCCUCGGUUGU
Molecule: ribosomal RNA, 370 nt
Filed under: uncultured bacterium
Lineage: Bacteria
Description: bacterial SSU rRNA
Rfam family: Bacterial small subunit ribosomal RNA
Source: RNAcentral